AACACUGUUCUGCAGUCUAUGGUGACUAUGCUGGCAGGUGAGUCACAAUCCUGGCACUUGGGGAACACCCAGUUUGGUGGGAAAAGACACCAACCCAGCAAGCAUGGACUUAUACAAGCGUGAUGAUCAAACAUGGAGGCAGAGACUUUGGUGGAAUUAAAUUGUGAGCUGGCAAACUCCACAGGCAGUGAGGGGCAGGGAAGAGCGGUGAGUAACAUAGUACUGUUCACAGGUGAAUGUCACAGGUAUGAAUGCGGAGGAACCCAUCUUUCUGCUAAGGGGAGUCGGCACGCUGUCCCUGAAGAA
RNAcentral lists this long non-coding RNA (306 nucleotides) under Mus spicilegus (steppe mouse). Its description in RNAcentral is "lncRNA (ENSMSIG00000010062.1)". The record is from RNAcentral. Lineage: Eukaryota; Metazoa; Chordata; Mammalia; Rodentia; Muridae.